RNAcentral lists this long non-coding RNA (346 nucleotides) under Mytilus galloprovincialis (Mediterranean mussel). The record is from RNAcentral. Lineage: Eukaryota; Metazoa; Mollusca; Bivalvia; Mytilida; Mytilidae.
CUGAUUGUUUCUAUUUACAUGUACAUAUUUACAAUAUACAAUUUACGUUCGUUUUUCAACCGAGAAUAGCAAAACCUCAUGAAGUAUAUCGCUGGAGUUUAUUAACUACAUUUAAUUCCCCUGUGCCAUGGUUUGCCAUCUCCGUUUUUUUUUAACAAAGCAUGGUUGGUUACAUGUUAAGAAUUUACUUACAAUUUCGGGAUUUUUUUUUCAAAAGUAAACGGAAUCAGAAAAAAAAUCACCAUCCUAUGUCGAAUACCUAAAACUUGUCAAAGAAUAUGAAAAGUGUUUGUAGAAAAGUACGGUUUCAUUUUUCAAGUACAACGCUAAUUCAUCGAGUCCAUUG